This 9307-nucleotide long non-coding RNA is filed under the name Capsicum annuum. Its description in RNAcentral is "long non-coding RNA (CANN_LNC009438)". Lineage: Eukaryota; Viridiplantae; Streptophyta; Magnoliopsida; Solanales; Solanaceae. The record is from RNAcentral.
UGGCAUUUCGGUGCACAAAACAUCCCUAAUUCUACAAGCAUUAUAUCAGUGGCUCAUGUCUUCAUCGCUCGAAUCCAAUUAUUUAUAAAUCACACGAAGAUAAUUUUAUCGUUACUCUGGACCCUCCCCUUCAGCUAACCAAGUGAAAAAGAAAUUAAAAUGAUUUUAAAAAAAAAAAAAAAAACUAAUUAGUAAGUACUACCAAAAACAUCUCAAAAAAUGGAUGAGAAAACGAAACAAGUAGUUUCCAUUAUGGACCAAGUCAUUACGAACCAACCGGUCCAAAUUGAGGUUACGAGGAAGGCGAUCGCUGUAGUACAACAAUGUUGUCAAUGUGGAAACUGGUUGGACGAUAAAUGCCCUCGUCGUUCGUGCUACUGACCCAAACAUCAUUGCCGCAACACGCUGCAAUAGACAACAUAAAAAUUCUAGUUAAGACCAAAAGCAUACAUAUAAUAAAAACAUAAUACAUACACUUCUUUUAACUUAACCUCAGUUCACAUUUAUGAUCUUCAAUUUUGAAUAUGCACAAAUAGACAUGAACUGGUCACGUAGGAUGUCACAUAAGACACCAGAGACGGAGCUACACUUGGGAUAGGGGAUUCAUCCAAACGCCCUUCAACGGAAAAUCAUACUAUAUAUACAUGGUUAAAAUUAUUUUUUAUGUAUAUAUAGUAGAUGUCGAACCCCCUUCGGUUAGUUCGUAUGUUUCCCUUGGUGAAAAUUCUGGCUCCGCCAGUGUAGGACACAUAUGUCUAUAUGUUCAACUUUAUGCAAGUUUAAGUGUCUAUUUGUGCACACCCAUAGUUGAAGGACAUAAAUGAAAGUUGAAGCUAAGUUAACGGACACAUUUAUAUAUUAUGCUUAUAAUAAUAAAUAUAUUAAAGUGGUUAAUCCCGUACUCUACACAGUAGCUGCUUCAACGCGUUAUAAUGUACAGUAGUGAAAACAAUUUUAACUUAAAAACUUUUAAUUUACCCUUUAUAACAGAGGAUUUCAUAGGUACACAAAUACUAUGUUUAGACGUGUUUAAAAACACUAAGUUUCCAAAGCUUUAUUGUCAUACAUAUGUAACGACAUAUCAAACAUAAAUAUUUCAAAAGCUUCCCCCUUUUUCUUUUCUUGAACUCUAUGAUCAUUCAAUCUAAGCCAUAUAAAUUAAAAUCAAAGGUAAGGGCGCGCGGAGCUAAAGGGGAAGGGGUCAUCUAAAUACCCUUCGCUGAAAAUUAUAGUACCAUAGCAUAUAUACGGUAAAAACUAAAUGUUGGAUUCCCGAAUAACUUUUCCAUGUAUGUACUAGUUUUUUAUACUAUUAUCGUUUGAACAUUCUUAAUGAAAAUUUAGACUCCGUUAAAUGGUGGAGUAUGCAAAUUUUCUUACACUUCCGAACGAUAUAUAAUUUAAUUUUAUUCAAAACUAAAACCAAAACAGACAGAAGGCUAAUCAACAAGAAGAAUAAUAAAGAGAAGGAAGAAUGACAUACCAUUGUUCUCAAUAAUAAAAAAGUCAUGCAGCUAGCUUCUUCUCUCAGAGAAAGAAAGGUGGAGUUGUUAUGAAGGUAAAUAAAUGUCACUUUAAUUUGAAGCAGAGAUUUUGAUUGGGUUUAUACUACAAAAAAAAAUACACAUGCAACAAGCUAAGUCUUGGUAAAAGUGUAAUUGAAUUUAUGUGAAAAUUGGUGAAUAUCUGCCAAAAAGUUAUACAGCUGAUGAUAUCGAGAAAAACAAAAAAGUUAGCGAGCAGAGUGGUUUUUCUUGUCUAGGAUGAAAAACAUAGGGCGUUCACUUUGAAGAUAUCGACAUAUUAGAUCCUUAAAAAAAAAAAAAAAAAAAAAGAGGGUUUAAUUGCAAUAUAUAGCUAUAUAUAAGCAAUAAGAUGUGAGCGACUGCAAAAAUCUUAGUAGGGAGCGCUUUCUUCAAAUGGGUCCUACGCAACGCAAAUACGAAUUAGUCGGACUCCAAUGCGAAUACCAAAACACCAGAUGAAAAACCAAAAAAAAAAAAGAUAUGAACCACAGGCAUGUUUUCUUGCAAUUAAAUUAAAGCCAAAUAAAUAUGCAGAAAUUUGUAACGUAGGUCGAGCUAUAAGUAUUAUUCUUUUUUGGCAAGAAUAUUUGACAAGAAAGUCAUGAGACCACAUUCCUGCCUUUGCCUUGUUGCUCAAGCUUAUAUGUAUUGUGAGCACAUGAAACUAUACUAAAAUAAAAUUUACUUCUUCAAGAGACACUUUUACUUACCACCUUAAAAGCAUGAACUUCCUAACUUUUAAAGUGAAAUUACUAAAAUGCCCUUCUUCUAUUAGUUUUUUUAAAAAAAAUAAAAAACCCAACAAAUACACCUAAGCCGCCUGUUUGAAUAGACCCUUCCCUUAACUUCCCGCGCUAAAGUCUAUAGUCGCUUCUUAUAGAAGAUUGCCUUCCAUAUAUUCAUCUUCAAUGAAAUCAAGCAUUGGUUCAAGAUGUACAACGACAUUUGUCCGGCCAGCCAAUCUCCUCAGAAAAUCAUAAGGCUAAUGCUUGUGAUGCCUGUGCACGUCAACAAAUGCUUCAUAGUGACAAGGACUUGGAGGGUGCACCAGUAACUGGUACCUUCUUUAUGAAUAAUCUGGAUCCCCACACCAUUUACAGAAGCAAUGUGUAUUGAAACGGGAUGAAAGGUGAGAAUUUGUGUAUUCCAUAUUCACUAAAAGUUCUGGUUUAAUUUGUUUUGCUAUCUCAACCACUUAAUGUUGAUUUAGUUGCAUUUGAUAGAGUCAACAGAGUUGGAAUAUACCUGAUGAAAAAUAUCUUAUCAUGGAGUUUUAUGGAACUGCAUGAAUAAAACAGGAAGUUCAAAAAACCACAAUUUGACUAAUCUUGAAACGGUUUGCAUAUUCAAUUCACAGCAAAAGGUUUGCUUAGGAAAUAAGAAAGAACGAAGUAGAAAUAUCUACCAGAGAGACGAUUUUGGUGGUGAAAGUGUGGUGGCCCUGGAAUGAUGUCAGAUAUAGAGGGAAAUGAUAUAAGACAAAUACGAGAGUAGCAAGCAUCUUGAAAAUCCACGUCAUAUUGUUAAAGUUAAAUUGGCUGCUAACUAUGUGAUAUGCAUCCUUUGUAGAUGGUCCUUAUUGAAUGUUUAUCUAAGGUUUGUUUUCUCUAACAAUAUGUUGUUGGAAUAUUAACUUUUAGUCUACGAAUUUUGAUAUCUAGCUUAUUGCAAAAUAAUGUUUUUGAUAGCCGUUUUCCCCCUUAAACUAGGAGUUCCCACCCUUUUUGCUCCCUUCGUGACUUGUUCUCACAACCUCGGGUUGGAAGUGAAGGGUGCUUACCAUCCGAGCAACUCCCUCUUUCCAUUUUUGAUAACGUUGCAUUAUGAGAUACUCGAUUCUAAUCACUCCACCUGUUUUAAUGCGUUUAUCUUAUUUUGACUUGACUCAUAGUUUAUGAAAGUUAAAAAUAAUUUUGAAUCUCUUUUUUCCUUCAACUAUCCUUCUCAAAGAGCUGGACCUGUAUUAUAACCCCAAACACUAUACAAAACAGAGGAGAAAACUCCCAUGACCUACUGAGAAUGGAACAUACCCCAUACAUCUUAGAUUGUAGAUAUCCAAAUUUGGUCACAAACAAUAGGAUUAACAUAUUCCUUGCCUAUUCUUAUAAAUCAUACAUUCUUUUACAUGUUCCUGUCAAAAGAGAAUGAUCCUUUGCGACUAUUUAUCCUAAACAAGGAAAGUUGUAACCUUUCCAUGUUUAUGUAUCCUCUAAUGUCUUUAGGAAGACAGAGAUCUGGAAUAUUGAAUUAUACCAUUGCCUUGAAGUCCCCAGUUAGCAAGUUUGUCUGUAACACCAUUACUUUCUCUGAAACAAUGUUUAAUUCUCCAAAAUCUCUUUCUUUUUGAGAUUGUCAUAAAUGUUGUCUAUGAUGUUCCAACAGGUUCAAGGUGGGUUAGCUUUAUUCUAGAUCCAGUCCACCACUAAUUUGGAGUCAUAUUCAAUUUCAAUUUUCUUGAUCCCUGCUGCACCAUUCAAUCCCAAUGCUAAGAGCCACCGUUUCAGCCAUGUUAUAAGUUUUAUACCCGGUCUCUACAUUGUAUUACACAUUGACUAAGUGUCGUUUAUCAUCCCCGAUGAUCCCUCUGCCACCACAAGGGCCUGUAUUAUCUUUGGAACAUCCAUCACAAUUAAGCUUCACCUAACCAGGCCUCGGAUAGUUCCAUUUAACUACAGUAGAAACUGACUGAUAUUUAGCAUGACCCAUCAAUUUUCUAAAACAUUCCCAGCUCAAGAGAGGGGAGAUAAUAGGGAACUUCUUGUUAGGAAUCAAAAUAAGUUAUUGAUGAGUUAGCUGAAUGAUUCUGUUGGGAUACAUGACAAUCUUUUCACAUCUACUCUUGCACCUGGCCUUCCAUAUUUUCCAAAUAAUGAGCUAAUGUAUGAAAAUAUCAUUUAAUCUUGUGGUUUUAAGAAUGUCAUGUGUAUGUUUAGAUUUAAAGAGUUGCCAAAAAGGAUAAAGAAAAUAUUCAUUUUUUAAUCAAUUUCGAAAGAAAAGACAAACAAACUGAAACAAAGGGAUAUUAAUUUGUGCAUAUUGCUUCUUUUAAGAGAUGAUGAUAUAUUAUUAAUGUCGAAAGGAAACUUAAGGUAAAACUUAAUUCUGGCAUGUGUAUCAUUGUAAAAGGUGACUGUGAGACCAUUCUAUGUAAUUGAUGCAUUCGUAUUUGGAUAACUUAAUAGCGCUAUGUGUUUUUAUGUAGUAAGUUAUUAUUGUGAUUCGUUUUGUUUUAAUGUAGUAAAUCACUGUGAGUAGAUUACAUGAAAAGCUAGCUUCACAACAGUUAUAACAAUUUCUUCUUUCUUGGCCAUCAUAAUUGGAGAAAAAUUUCAAGAGAAAUAACUUUUUUCACUGUAAUGGAUACAUUAAACAACAACUACAUGUGUUUAUAAGAGAAACAACUUCCUUGAUCAGCGAUUUUGAUGCUCUUGUCUAUUUGGCAAGACUGACUUCAUUUUUCAAACUUACCUACCAAUAAAACCAAACACCCUAGCUCAAUAAAACAGUAUAGACCAAUAUCCUGUUGUACUACCAUAUACAAGAUCAUAUCCAAAAUGCUCACCACAAGGCUUCAACCUCUCAUGGAUCAUCUUGUAGACAUUAGUCAAGCUGCUUUUUCCCUGGUAGGGUUCUAAAUGAUAAUAUUUUACUUGGUCAUGAACUAGUUAAAGGAUAUGGGAGAAAGGGUAUCUCGCCUAGGUGUAUGAUUAAAAUUGACAUGCAAAAAACACAUGACUCAAUUGAAUGGCCCUUCCUUGAGGAGGUUUUACUGGGUAUGAAUUUAUGAAUUUCCCUGGGCAAUUUGUACAGUGGAUAAUGAGUUGUGUUAUAACAGUGUCCUACUUUAUAAAUAUAAAUGGUGUUCCUAGCACACCUUUUGCUGCAAAGAAAGGGGUAAGACAAGGUGACCCCCUGUCACCUUACCUGUUUGUCUUGAGUAUGGAGUAGUACCUAACCAGACUGUUGAAAAGAUUAGGACAAAAUCUAGACUUCAACUUCCACCCACGAUGCCAAAAAUUGAAUAUUAUUCAACUCAGUUUUGCAGAUGAUUUACUACUGUUUUGCAGAGGUGAUAUAGUUUCUGCUACCUUGCUUAACAAUUGUUUUCAAGAAUUCUCUGCAGCUUCAAGCCUUAUAGCCAACCAAUCAAAGAGUAGCAUAUAUUUUGGGGGUGUAAAUGAGAGUACACAGCAGUUCAUAUUACAACAACUGGGGUUUACUACUGGACAACUCCCCUUCAGAUACCUAGGAGUGCCUUUGAGCACCAAAAAGUUAUCAGUGGCCCAAUGCCAGCCUCUAAUUGAUAAGAUGGUUGGAAGAAUUACAAACUGGACAACUAAAUUUCUCUCAUAUGCUAGUAGAUUACAACUAAUUCACAGUGUGCUUGUUGGUAUACAAGACUUCUGGUCUCAAGUUUUUCCAAUACCAAAAACAAUUCUAAAAAAGGUAGAAACUAUGUGCAAAAGAUUCUUGUGGAAUGGACAUAUCCAACAUCGAGGCAAGGCACUAAUAGCAUGGGACAAGAUGUACUUCCCAAAUCAGCUGGAGGGCUUAAUAUUAUUGACAUGUAUAUAUGGAAUAGAGCUGCUAUCCUCAAACAUUUAUGGAACUUGAAUCAGAAAAAGGAUAAAUUAUGGAUCCUGUGGGUACAUGCAUAUUAUUUGAAGGGAAGGAAGCCUUGGAGCACAUGGACCAAACAAGCGUCAUGGAUUAUUCAGAAAAUCUUACAAGUUGGUAAAUGAAUUGAUGCAGCUGGUUUAAGUAUAGAAGAAGUUAUGGCGCAGAACUCAUUCUCCAUCAAGAAAAUAUACCAACAGCUUAGAGGCCAAUUCUCUAAAGUGGACCGGAGGAAACUAUACUGUAACAAUCAAGGGCACCCAAAAUGGAGGUUUAUCAUGUUUAUAGCACUUAAUCAAAGAUUAUAUACUAAAGAUCAACUAGAUAAAUGGAGCAUCCACACCAGUCUAACAUGUGCAUUAUGUGACGAGGAAAUGGAAGACCACCAGCACCUGUUCUUUAAAUGCUUAACUUCAGGGGAUAUAUGGCAAAGAAUACUCAACUGGCAAGGUGUUACAAGGGGGAGUAUGAGAUGGAGAGAAGAGGUACAAUGGGCCAAUCUGCAUGCAAAGGGGAUACUAGCAAAAACAGCAGUCUUCAGAAUGAGCCUAACCGCCACUGUAUAUCAUAUUUGGAUGGAGAGGAACCACCGAAUACUCCAGCAACGAAAGCAGCAAAGAGAAGCAAUCAGUAGACAGAUCAUCCAAGACCUUCACUGCAGGGCUAGCAUGUUUCCUAGAUUAGCUGGGUAUAUGCUUAAUCUGAACUUCUAUAGAUGAGAAAUAUGGAGUAUGUUCCUAGUUAGUUAUUUUGUAAUUACUUGAAGUUGGGACGUGUCCAACUCAGGCCAAAAACAUCUGCUCACAUCGACAUAUCGGGUAAUAAAAUUCCGGUUACCAAAAAAAAAUAUUACUAAUAACAUAGCAGAUUACAUAGUUUUUGCUAAACAAUUUGAGCACUAAAAAUUGAUAAUAAUAUCUUUGGUGGUAGGAUUUUCGUGAAACAAGUUUUUUGGUUCAAUUAUUUCAUGCAGUAUGAAGAACUACUGUUAUAUAUUUCGUUUAAAUUUUUUAUUUAUUUUGAGUACAUAUCACCUGAUUUUUAAAAAGAAAAUCUCCCAAGGGAUUGUUUGUUCAUUAUUACAAUUAAGUACAAAUUUUCCUUGAAAACUUUCAGAAAGAUUAGAAUUUCUUGGCAACUUUUGGACAUUAUUCAAGACACAAGACAGCUGACAACCCAAAUGGCCAAUGGUGCAUAAGACUGCUUUAGUGAAAGAAAUCAAAUUUUAUUUGCCCUUUCUUAAUAGAGUGGAACAGGGGAUGACAAAACUUUUCUCAAUGUCAAUGAGCUCCCAUGAGAAGCUCAUGGUCCAUAAAAGCUAGAUGUGAUUCAAAUGCUCUCUCUCAGAUACAAGGUUCUUAAUAAUUUUUAUAAUAGCUCUUUUUUAUUUGAUGUUUCACGAGGUUGGCUUUUGUCCUUUCAAAGUGUUUGUACUUUGUAGUUACAUUUUUAUUUUUUUGCUUUAUAUUGUGGUAUCAGGUAUGUGUGAUUGUAUAAUGGAUCGCUGUAUCUAUUAUGUCGAAGUUAAGUUUUAUUCUCCCCCUUGAUGUAAUUUGUUGAUAUGUUACAUAUCUAUCUACAUAUUAGGGAUCAUCGUCAAACACACUUGCACCACAAGUUUAUAUAGCCUUGGUCAUGAUUUCUCGAUGAAAAGGAAAUUUAUAGAAAUACAAUAUUGGUCUAUUUGUUGUGAAACCAUUUCAUAUUAUUACCAUUACUAAUUAGAAAGAAUAACCUAACUCUAUUGAUCCAUAUACCUUUCAAAAGGUGAUUAUGUACACACAACAGUGAUUAAAUGUUUUUUGUGUCUAUAAUGUUGUCUGUUUUUUUGAAAGACAUCCACCCAAGCUGUCACCUGCCGUGGUGGUGGGAGGCUUGGCGGACCUCUAUCAUGUAUAUUGUCAAAAAUAAUUACAAGAAGGAAGACAUAAACCAAACCUCUAGAAAGUACUUGUAGUAGCAACAAAAAAUAAGCUUCCAAAUUUCUAACAACAAACUUUGAACUAUAGGGAAGAUGAUGAUGAUAUUUUCUGCUAAGCUUAAUGAUCACCUUGAAGCAGUGGUCUCUAAGAUGUCUAUAAGCAUAACCUUAAGUAAUUAUACUUUUGCUAGACGGAACUGAAGGAAGUCUCCAGCUUAUAAGAUAGUACAAUUUUGUUCAAGGUGUUCAAUUGUCAAUCUUUAUCGCUUAUAUUCGGAAUGAAGGCACAUAAAGUCUGUCUAUUGUAAUAUUACCUCUCGCGUCACAUGGAAGUUCAACUUCAUUGUAGUAAAAUUCCUUGCUAUCCAGAGAGGUAGCUAAGAUGUCUACUACUUGAUUCCCUUCUCCGUAACAGAGUUGCACUUGGAUGCUCCUUUCCUGAACUAUACAUAAAAGAUCAUGUUAACCAAAAGUAAGGAGUCCAUUUCAAGAAUAUUGUGCAAUAACUGUAAGCAGCACCAUGAAAUACCAGAGCAGCCCGAGUUUCUAAGUAAUUGUUAGUACAGAACUGGAUAGGGGCAACAAAGACCAUAAUCAUCUGUCCAUUUCUUUUCCGCACAAUACCACCAGCUCCCGCUUUGCCAAUGACCUUAAUGAAACUACCAUUAGUAUUCAACUCUAAUCCCAUUCCAUAAUAGCAAAAGGUCUAUCCAUUUAACACUCAUGUAAUGUACUCUUGGUGUAUAAGUUUCCACAAUAGUACAAACCUUAGACCAACUAUAAUCCCAUUCCAUGUUGCAAAAGUUAUUACCAAUGGCAAUCUAGACUUGGAUCACAAUUUAUUGGCAGAUUCUAGAGAAAUUAAAGUAUUUGUCGACAUAUUUCUUACCACAUCUGGCUUUCCAGAUUUCCCAACAGGCAAUUAUAGAAAUGAUGUGCAAGAAAAGCUUGUGUGCAUCGUCUUUUGCAGGGGUGUUCCAUCACAAAAUGCCUGAAUAGCAGUAGCCCCAGCAUUUAAGUCCAAAGGAAUGGGGAAAAAAAUUCUCAACUCUGGUAGCCAAAUCAUAAGAAACAAAGAGAUGGUUUAGAAUUUUACUUUUAUCCACCCUGCAACAUGAGCAUCUGAAAGUAAAUUGGAGAUUAGGCAUGUGGACAAUGUCACUUAUGGGAAGUUUCUUUUGAGCAUUAUCCAUCACUGGGAAGAAAUCUUGGAAUUAUUUCUUGCAUCAGACCUAGACCUUGG